RNAcentral lists this ribosomal RNA (492 nucleotides) under uncultured bacterium. RNAcentral's name for it is "partial 16S ribosomal RNA". It matches the Rfam family "Bacterial small subunit ribosomal RNA", at positions 29 to 507 of the family's 1533-position model. The record is from RNAcentral.
AGUGAACGCUGGCGGUAGGCCUAACACAUGCAAGUCGAACGGCAGCACAGUAAGAGCUUGCUCUUACGGGUGGCGAGUGGCGGACGGGUGAGGAAUACAUCGGAAUCUACUUUUUCGUGGGGGAUAACGUAGGGAAACUUACGCUAAUACCGCAUACGACCUACGGGUGAAAGCAGGGGAUCUUCGGACCUUGCGCGAUUGAAUGAGCCGAUGUCGGAUUAGCUAGUUGGGGGGGUAAAGGCCCACCAAGGCGACGAUCCGUAGCUUGUCUGAGAGGAUGAUCAGCCACACUGGAACUGAGACACGGUCCAGACUCCUACGGGAGGCAGCAGUGGGGAAUAUUAGACAAUGGGCGCAAGCCUGAUCCAGCCAUACCGCGUGUGUGAAGAAGGCCUUCGGGUUGUAAAGCCCUUUUGUUGGGAAAGAAAAGCAGCAGGUUAAUACCCCGCUGUUCUGACGGUACCCAAAGAAUAAGCACCGGCUAACUUCGUG